This 440-nucleotide ribosomal RNA is filed under the name uncultured Janthinobacterium sp. Its description in RNAcentral is "bacterial SSU rRNA". It matches the Rfam family "Bacterial small subunit ribosomal RNA", at positions 358 to 790 of the family's 1533-position model. The record is from RNAcentral. Lineage: Bacteria; Pseudomonadati; Pseudomonadota; Betaproteobacteria; Burkholderiales; Oxalobacteraceae.
GGAAUUUUGGACAAUGGGCGAAAGCCUGAUCCAGCAAUGCCGCGUGAGUGAAGAAGGCCUUCGGGUUGUAAAGCUCUUUUGUCAGGGAAGAAACGGUGAAGGCUAAUAUCCUUUGCUAAUGACGGUACCUGAAGAAUAAGCACCGGCUAACUACGUGCCAGCAGCCGCGGUAAUACGUAGGGUGCAAGCGUUAAUCGGAAUUACUGGGCGUAAAGCGUGCGCAGGCGGUUUUGUAAGUCUGAUGUGAAAUCCCCGGGCUCAACCUGGGAAUUGCAUUGGAGACUGCAAGGCUAGAAUCUGGCAGAGGGGGGUAGAAUUCCACGUGUAGCAGUGAAAUGCGUAGAUAUGUGGAGGAACACCGAUGGCGAAGGCAGCCCCCUGGGUCAAGAUUGACGCUCAUGCACGAAAGCGUGGGGAGCAAACAGGAUUAGAUACCCUGG